RNAcentral lists this long non-coding RNA (1032 nucleotides) under Sparus aurata (gilthead seabream). Its description in RNAcentral is "lncRNA (ENSSAUG00010002804.1)". Lineage: Eukaryota; Metazoa; Chordata; Actinopteri; Spariformes; Sparidae. The record is from RNAcentral.
AUGCUUGAGGAGGAUAAUUCCAGCCAAACAAAAAGGGCUGUCAUUCUGAGGGGCCUGCCAUAUUUCCUCCGUGAGGAUCCUUCCAAGUUCCUCAGGACUGCAGAGCCCACAGACAUGGAGGACAGCAUGACGGGGGGAAUGAAUGUCGGCAUUGUCCUAGUAAAAGAAGGAGAGGAUCUUCUGGACAUUUUGGUGAUCCUGGAGCAACAGAUUGUUCUGCAUGACGUCAAUGACUACUCUCAUGCGGUAGUUAUGUUAAUGGGUCUGCUGUAUGCACUGAACAUUGACUACCCAAAGGAGCUGCAAUAUACGUUCGAGGUCAUCCAGAAGGUUCUCAUGAACAUCGGGGGUGAGCACCGCUCUGCAAGGGUUCAUGGACUGAGGAAUAGACUUCUUCGUAAAACUCAGUAGACACUACACUGAGACUGGGAGUUUUUGUUUAAAGGGAUAAUCUCUUCAAGUUCUGUUGCAGUAUUGUAACGGUCACUAACAUUCUUAGUUGGAGGAAUUUAAGACCUUUUCAAUGAUGUUCUAAGUUGACUGCAGUUCUAAACUCAGAUCCCAGAACACUGUUUAAAGCCAGAAAGGUGGCAGGGUCCGCCACAUAUUUCCAUGACUCCUGUUGUUUUAUCAAGUGGCAGUAAUUGAGAAUUUUUUGGAUUUCAGCUGUUGGACGACGUUAUAAGUGUUGUGAACGCAUCACCUCGGGCUUCAGGAGCUUGUUAUGAGCACGCUCACCUUCUCUGACAUGUUUAUUGACAAAAUGAAAAACUGAGAUUUUAAUCAGCAUAUGAAUCUGUUGUUCAACCUGUUUCUGUCAGCGUUGAUGCUCCAUUACAUGUGGACAGUUUACAGCAGUAAAAGGGAUAUUCCGGUGUAAUAUCCCUUUAAGUUCUGUUGCAGUAUUGUAACGGUCACUAACAUUCUUAGUUGGAGGAAUUUAAGACCUUUUCAAUGAUGUUCUAAGUUGACUUGCUGUUUUUGAGGAAAACAUUUUUUGUACAUGAUGAGAUGUGUUAAUCUGCUUUAUUA